Long non-coding RNA from Agrilus planipennis (emerald ash borer), 355 nucleotides. RefSeq lists it as uncharacterized. The record is from RefSeq and is a predicted model, not a curated record. NCBI's taxonomy places the organism in Eukaryota, Metazoa, Arthropoda, Insecta, Coleoptera, Buprestidae. The transcript is spliced from 2 exons.
CUAUGUGCUAGCUUUAGAGUGUCUUACAUCUGUCAAAGAUUUAACGUUUUAUUAAUGACAUGAAACGAUCAGGCAAUUUGGUUCUUCUCACUGUGCCGAUCUCAGAUCUGCAUCAAAUAGUGAUUCCGAACAAAUCAGACAAACAAAACUCACAAUUCGGACAACAAUAGCGAGAUGGUUGGACGAAAUAAAAUAUGGUACAUCAUCUGGAAAUAGUUUACGAACAAGUGUAAUAACUAUUAUGGCUACUGUAAUUUGUUUCAUUUAUAAUUUCUAAUUUCUUACAUUCAUGUAAAAUGAAGUGGAUUUGCCUAGUACAUGCAAUUGUGCAGUCAAUAAAAUUAAUUGAAAUUAA